AUUGCUCCUAAGACAAACCUCACGUCUUCAGCACAGCCUCCAAGCUAUGCACAAGCUGUCACCUGCCCAGGACUCCGCCCCUCUCUCCUCUCACUCCAGGUUCCAUCCCUUCCCUCCCUUCCUCCAGCAACCCAAGUGCCUCUUGCUACAGGCCCCGCCUGGUCUUUUCCAUGAGGUGCCAUCAGCCCCAUUUCUGGAAGAAGUAAGUGUCCCUGUCACACGCUCCUGCUGCCCCCCUCUGCAUCCCGGCCCUGACAGCAAGGCUGCAGGUAGCUGUCCCAGAAGGAGAGGGAAAGGGCUCAGCGCACCCAUCUUACGUUUGGAAAACUGCCACCUGCUUCCACCCCACAGGGCUCAGGGAGCUGCUUCAGAGCCGGUAAAAAAGUGAAAGAAAAAAAUGCGGAGGAUUUCACAUACUUUGGCUCAGGGCCUUGUUGGAAAUGAUCAGAGAAAUGUCCUUCGAGUGAAGCCCGAAGCCGCCAGCAUUGGUGUCUUCUGACCCUCCUGGCUGUUUGUAUACACCUGCAAGGACUGUAAUAUCCGGAGGCGUCUUGCCAAGAAUUGUCUGAAAAUGCCUCCCUCCUGGGCUUUGCUGUCAUGUGAGGAGUCAAGAUUCACUGGUGUCAGGGAUGUGAGGUUCUUUGACAGUUUUCCAGGCUUCUUCUGACAAAGUUUUGAACCGACUCUUCCUCAAGGUGACCUAUCUUCAGCAGAGCUGGAUCUUUUCUUCCUCAACUCUGUCAGGAGCAGGAGUGGGAGCUGGUCGCCUGGACCAGGCUGCAGAGCUGAGGCACCCAGCACUUUUUCUGCUCUGUGGUUCUUACUCUCAAGAACUGAGAGGAGUCAGUUAUGUUAGAAGCAGCUUUCUCCAAUUCCGGGGUUUAUGCCUUUUCCUUGCUCAGGACCUAGUAUUGCAUCAUUUGUUAUCCAUGGCAAUUUUGGUUCACUCAAGAGCCACUGCCAGAAAGUUGUCUUUCCCCACCCCCAGCAGCAAAGCAGCCCCCAAACAAGUCAUCUUAGGAAUUCCUCAAUUCCUGCAGAUGGGAAGGAGACAGCCACAGCGCAGCUCACGAUGGAAGCAGCACUGUCUUCCCCAGGCUACAGCCUCCAUUUGUAAAAUUCAAAGCCAUGCACAGAGACUGGGGGUGUGGAGCCUGUAAACCCUUUCAAGAAAAAAAUAAAAUAAAAACAAGCAUCAUAAGUAAAUAUCAAAACUAAGAGAGAUUUAGGAUGCUGGUGAGAAAUGUUUUCUAUUUAAUCUGACCAAGUUAUCUAAUAUCAAGUCUUAAGUGAUGCUGGGAGCUGCGAAUGGUCAUCUCACUCUUCCAGGGGUUUGUCCUUCCUCUCCACCCCCCAGCAAACCCCACACCUGUCGGGCUCAGCGGCAUCCUUGCUUACCCACCU
This 1404-nucleotide long non-coding RNA is filed under the name Homo sapiens (human). RNAcentral describes it as "HSALNT0391614". Lineage: Eukaryota; Metazoa; Chordata; Mammalia; Primates; Hominidae. The record is from RNAcentral.